Molecule: ribosomal RNA, 253 nt
Filed under: uncultured bacterium
Lineage: Bacteria
Description: partial 16S ribosomal RNA
Rfam family: Bacterial small subunit ribosomal RNA
Source: RNAcentral
UACGUAGGGCGCAAGCGUUGUCCGGAAUUAUUGGGCGUAAAGAGCUCGUAGGCGGUUCGUCACGUCGGCUGUGAAAACCUGAGGCUCAACCUCAGGCCUGCAGUCGAUACGGGCGGACUCGAGUUCGGCAGGGGAGACUGGAAUUCCUGGUGUAGCGGUGAAAUGCGCAGAUAUCAGGAGGAACACCGGUGGCGAAGGCGGGUCUCUGGGCCGAUACUGACGCUGAGGAGCGAAAGCGUGGGGAGCGAACAGG